UGCUUAUCGAACAUAUAAAGGUCGAAGGGGGGUGCUACGCAGAACCAAUGUUUUUCGUCCACGUCGGCUAUGAAUAGUGCAGCCAACAGUAUAGGGAGCACGUUGCGCGGCGAGCAGCUAGAUAAGAGAGAGAGAGAGAGAGAGAGACCUAGCCCACCCCCCGUCUCCCCCGCAACUCUUGCAUCGCCGCCCUUGCCUAUGACGAAGAAAGUGAGGAAAGAGGAAAGGGAGGUGAGGGUCACCGGCUGCUGUCGGCCUGCGCCGGCGAGGUUGGGCACAACCUGGCAGGGGAGGAGGGAGAAAGAGAGAGGAAAGAGGAGAAUGAGGUGCGGUGGCUGAUAGGAGAGCGUCAUCGGAAGGAGCCGCUGGCUCGUUGUCAUCGCGCUGGAGGAGAGAUGCAUGUGUACAUCCCUCAUGCCAGCAGGUCGCAGAGGAGGAUCUGCUGCCGAAUCCACGCAGUUGAGGGUGAGGAGGACGGAGGUGAGGGAAGCAGCAGCAAGGAUGGUGGCUGGCGAUGGUUCAGGGGCCACCAGAGGAGGGGAAAGGGGGAUGAUGUCGCGCUUCUCGCCACCUCCACGUCCUUGUCUCCCGGUGGUCCGCUGCUCCUUGUCCACGCCGUUGCAACUCCAGCGACAACAGUUCGUCUCCAUGAUCCUUCUGCUCCUCCCGCUUCUCACCAAAUUAGUCUGAACAUAGCAAGGUUCAGUGAAUAGUGCCAUGCACGAUGACUAUUGUUGAUCUUUGUAUUGCGAGACAGUGCUUUUGAGUUUGAUGAGAUAUGGCCAUUCUCAAAAGGUAGAUUUAACAUAUUGAUAGAAAAUGGCGUAAGUUUGCUCUCCCGUGACCACCCGAAGUGAUGUUUAUUUUAUUUUAUUUUUCAUUGCAAAGUUACUGUAUAUAGGAUAAGGAAGAACUUUUGGAGCCUCUAAUGUUUAUAUUACUUCCUAUUGUGUUUUUUUUUUUUUGAGAUUACAAAUCCUUGCAUGAUCUACAAGUUUCAACCGACUAGUGAACUCAAAAUUGUAUUUUUGCUAGCCUGUUACUGUGUUACAUGGCGUUCUGAAUCUUGAUUUCCAUCUAUAUGUAUGACUUCUUGGUAUGCCUCUAUUGUUGCACUAUCACAUGGAUCAAAUAUGCUAAAAGAUGCUUGCAUUGAUAACUGUGUUUAGUUGUUUACUGUUGGAUUGCUCUUGCACAAUAGUAAUAAACAUGCGGAUAAAUCAUGGCUUGGCCUGGCAGUGACCAUGUUAGUCUGCUUAGUGUUCCUACUCUCUACACUCCAUGGAAUACCAGCCCAUUUUUAAACCAGCCCAGAAGUAACGACAACAAUGUAGGCACCACAAAUAAUUUAUUUGCAUAUUACUCGACUCCUUUCUUUGAAUUUUCUGACAGUCGUGUGUCACUGCACUUAAUGUGCACACCUACUGCAAAACUUUAUUACCAGAUUUCAGAUUUUAUCUCUUUUUUCAUUAGAUGAAUUUAGGUGUAAUAGUUUUCUCUUUUCCUAUGUUUGCAUUUAGUUAACUUGUCAUCUAAACGCUGAAUUAGUUACAGAACUGCAGUCUGAAAGGUGAAGGAUAGCAUGCUAUCCAGGUUAUGUUGUCGAAGGGGAUCAUUGGUCGUGUCUCCACUCUAGCAUAGCUAAUAACUACUCAUCGUAUAUUUGCAUUUAGUAGCCUCAAACAUCAAAUUUCUUCUUAUGUUUCUUCUCUAGCAUGUUGCUCGCUGGUUUUAAUAUUGAUUUAGGUAGAAUUUGUUUAGUUUAGGGCAUGGUCCAACUCUCAAUUACAUACACGGACCUUCUGGAUGGCUGUCGUGGUUGUUUCGGUCCGCUUUUAUGUAGGGAGACCGUAUUCCGGUCCUAAAACGAAUAAAAUUGAAGUAAAAAGGUAUUUCUUUGGCUUCUUGGGUUGCUUCUCUUUCUUUGUCUCUAGGGACGGAUAAGAAGGCGUUUCUUUUGCUCUUGGUGUUGCAGAUGCACCAACCUAUGCACAAUAUGAAGGUACUAGACAAUAAUGCACUUUAGAUGGUACACUGGUGCUGAUGAAUCAAUCUUUUUUGUUAUCUGCUUUAUGCUUCUAAAAGUGUGUGCUAGAUUAUCUAUUAUAUUCAGAGAAUACUAUAUCACACAUGUAGUGCUUGUUGGAUAUUUUCACUUGAUUUGGAUAAUUUAAGUGCGACUAUAUUUUUCUUAAUUGUUCCUAUUCUUUGAGAGUGCUUCAGUUUCCGUGUCAGUGCAAAUAUAUCUGUGUAAAUUCUCAUAAAGCUCCUAUUGGUGUUUCAGUUGUUUACAAUACGACCCCUCACAAAGCAAACAAAAUAGCAACACCGGAGACAUUUUAUUGAUUGAAACAUGCAUAUUGGAUGAAGGAAUGCCAAAUCAAUACGGUCUCACACGAUGGUGGUUCAUAAUUUAUCUCUCUUUCUUGAUCCUGUCUUUCUAAGUAUAUAUAGAUCAUGCAAGAAAGUCAUACUUGGGCAUUAUCUUGCAAGAAAGUCAUACUUGGGCAUUAUCCUGCAAGGAGUUGUGUAACCAUCCCAGUAGCUGCAGGCACACUUGGUUUCUAAUAUUUUUAUGUUGUAAUUUGCACUGGGACUGAUGACUAAUGUCGCCAGUUUGGUGGAUGUGCCCCUACUUUGCUAUAUUUCCCAGCCUUUUGUCAUUCUGGUGUAUUUUCAUUGCAAAUAAUCUGAAGGCAAUCUCAACUUGUUCGUUGAUCUCUUCUAGACCAUGGUUCAUGCAUCUAUAAUUGCAGUGGCCAAUUUAAAUGAUGUGAUGUACAAUAAUACAGGUUGCACAUCUGUUUAUAGAGGGCUUGUGAUCUCAUCUCGCCUUCAUGGCUGAGUGUUCAAUUAAAAUCAUACUUUUAC
Molecule: long non-coding RNA, 2871 nt
Organism: Triticum dicoccoides
Lineage: Eukaryota; Viridiplantae; Streptophyta; Magnoliopsida; Poales; Poaceae
Exons: 3
Source: RefSeq, a predicted model, not a curated record